This 1393-nucleotide long non-coding RNA is filed under the name Androctonus crassicauda. Lineage: Eukaryota; Metazoa; Arthropoda; Arachnida; Scorpiones; Buthidae. The record is from RNAcentral.
AACAUUCAUUUUUGUAUUACGUUGCUAAAUUGAUCUUUAUUGUAGUUUUUAUACUGAUCAAGAUUUAAAAACGAUAUUAAUUUUUGUAUUUUUGAAUGCGCAAAAUGUUGAAGUAGAAAAUAUAUGAAACGGUAACGUUGUUGAACACCUCAUGCUUUUAAGUUGGCUAAAUGAUCAACAAUCUUACAUUGCAAUGUUUCUUCCAUUUAUUCUACUACUAGUGCUUUCAUAUAAUUUUACAUUGCCACAAUAAGAAUGAAAUUAAGAUCACUAGAAAGAUGAUGAUGAAUAGGGAGAACUUUCCAAAAGAAGUGUACUUCUAUCUGGUGCAGGUGUUGAAAAAAUGAAUGAUGAAAUUAAAAUGUUUCCCCAUAUAUAGUAGUGCUUCCCAUAUAUGGGGAGCAUUACUAUAUGUAAUGUACUAUGAACCAGUUUAGUAGCACAUGAGAAUUGCAAAUUUGCAUUUUUAAUCAUCAGUUACUGGAAGGGCAGAUUUUCAGUUUACCUUAAUUUCAUUGUUUUCUUGACAUCUGCACCAAAUGGAGGUAUAGUCUUUUUGGAAAAACUGUACAUUAGAGAAUAAAAAAUUUGCCCCCAGUAAGAUCAAGUUUGUAUUCCACAUUACAGGAGAUCAACAGCUUAAAAAUAUUAUCAUAUAUAACUUCCAAAUUAGUUUGUAUAUUUGCCAUGAAACUUGAUUUGGAAGAAAACAGGAUCAACUUUUUUAUUGAUAUGUGAAUCCCAAAUAAGCUGUUAAAAAAAGGCAAACUUUCUUCCAUAUGCCCUUUAUUUUGUAAGCAGUUUUUGUCCAUGAAUUCUUUAAAACUUGCUGCACAUAGGAUAUUAAAGACUCUUGCUAAAUGUUAUGCUGCUUUCCACUCUACUGGAUAUGAAGGAGCAAAAUAUUUUUAUGUCCUUCAUAGAUUGCCCAUACAUGUGAUUGUUUUUUGUGUGCAUUUUGUGAGGGUAACAGGAUGGCUGUACAGUUCAUUAUUUUAUGUUGUUUUAUGUUACUUUUCUGUUGGAAGUAACUAAUUGGUGAAGAUAUUUCAGUGUUCACUAUAGGCCACUUGUCCUGUAGUGGGUUGGCUGUGAUAUGAAGAACUGAUUCCAUAUCUUUAGAUUUCUUCAAUAAAAAUUUAGCUUAAAUUUUUAUUGAAGUCUGAAAGUAUGGAACCUGGAAUUCAAUGGAAUUUGAAUGGGAUCUCCAAGAUGAAAUUCAACACAGUUCCAUGUAAUUGACUCAUUUUUGCUCCAAAUUAUUAGAAUGAGGUUUGGAUUUUCAUUCAAAUGCCAGUUUAAAUCAAGUUUUUAGCUCAAUAAUGGAAUUAAAUAUAUUUGAGGGCAAGGUAACUUAUAUAUGUGAUGCAAAUUACUCUAAGAGAUCGGAAGA